GCGGAUGGCCGGAUGGCCGCGUGGGGGGCAACCCUUGCGAGGAAAGUCCGGACUCCAUGUUGCAAGGGUGCCGGGUAACGCCCGGCGGGGGCAACCCCAGGGAAAGCGCCACAGAGAACAGUCUGCCCCAUCGGCCGCAAGGUCCGGGGUGAUGGUGAAACGGCGGGGUAAAAGCCCACCGCAGGUCUGGCAACAGAACUGGCACGGCAAGCCCCACCCGGAGCAAUGCCGAAUAGGGGCCUCGCGUGGGCUGGUCCGCUUUGCGGAUACCGCCACAGGGACGCAUCAGCCCGGAGGCCCGGGUUGGCAGCUAGAUCCCGCCGGUAACGGCGGGGGCAGAGGAAUGGCCAUCGAAGGGGCGCAAGCCCUGGAACAAAAUCCGGCUUACAGGCCAUCCGCGCAU
RNAcentral lists this RNase P RNA (403 nucleotides) under Rhodobacteraceae bacterium CG2_30_10_405. Its description in RNAcentral is "RNase P RNA component class A". It matches the Rfam family "Bacterial RNase P class A". Rfam says of the family: Ribonuclease P (RNase P) is a ubiquitous endoribonuclease, found in archaea, bacteria and eukarya as well as chloroplasts and mitochondria. Lineage: Bacteria; Pseudomonadati; Pseudomonadota; Alphaproteobacteria; Rhodobacterales; Paracoccaceae. The record is from RNAcentral. RNAcentral also lists the same sequence under 2 other names.